This 10272-nucleotide long non-coding RNA is filed under the name Phoenix dactylifera (date palm). RNAcentral's name for it is "long non-coding RNA (PDAC_LNC001196)". Lineage: Eukaryota; Viridiplantae; Streptophyta; Magnoliopsida; Arecales; Arecaceae. The record is from RNAcentral.
UUUGUGUCUUUGUGAGCGCCGCCCGAGCUCCAUUCCCUCAGUCCCUCUCCCCUCUCCUAGUCUUCCUCUCCUCCGGACCUCCGCCCUCUCCUCCCCCUUGCCGACUCCUUCCGCCUCCCCGUCGACGGCGACCGCAGCGGCUCGACGGGUUCCUAGGACGUUGCUUCCGCCUUCUUGGGGCUUUUCGUCGUCUCGCGACUUGCCGGCGGACGGUGACUGCUUUGUCUUCUCCACGGCGACGGCCUCCGUCUCCUGCCCUAUCCGUGCGUUCUCUCCCCUUCUCCGCUAGUAGUAUAGUCAUGCUAUCUCUGAUUUCCUUCCGCCAUCUCUUUCUGUCUCUGUUUCUUGAUCUUAGGGAUCUUGGAUCUCAAAGCGGCGGAGGACGUGAGGGCGCUCUUUCUCUUCUUCAAAGCGGCGACUACUGUGGAGUCCAGCAGCGCUGCAGCAGGUAUGCCGGUGGAGGGAAAUGGUUUGGUUUUUACUUUUUAUGGUUUGAUUCAUGGCGAAGGCUAGGGCUUCCAGAUUUUUUCCCCCACCCGAAUCGAAGCCGUCGAUGAUUUCCGGAGAGAAAAAAAUUUGGGGAUGGCGCCUAGAAUCCUAGAUCAGAGAUUUUGAGGGCUCCCGUUUCCAUUUUCUUUUAUUUUUUCCAAUAAAAAAAUUGUAAUCUGUUAAUUUCUCUCCNNNNNNNNNNNNNNNNNNNNNNNNNNNNNNNNNNNNNNNNNNNNNNNNNNNNNNNNNNNNNNNNNNNNNNNNNNNNNNNNNNNNNNNNNNNNNNNNNNNNNNNNNNNNNNNNNNNNNNNNNNNNNNNNNNNNNNNNNNNNNNNNNNNNNNNNNNNNNNNNNNNNNNNNNNNNNNNNNNNNNNNNNNNNNNNNNNNNNNNNNNNNNNNNNNNNNNNNNNNNNNNNNNNNNNNNNNNNNNNNNNNNNNNNNNNNNNNNNNNNNNNNUUUAUCACAAAUUAGCAAGUUCAAACAAAACCAGUGAUCCACUAAAACCUACGUUAAUGAUAUGUUGGUAGUGAUCUAUUAUAUGUUAGGAGAGUGAUGCAAAAGCAGAAUUUGUGAGUGUUGGCUUCUAAGUCUUGAUACAGUUCCUCUGGGAAAGGAGCGAAGCAAUCCUAGUUUGACUUAAAUCAAAUGCAAAGUAAGCUACCAUGUCAGUAGACCUGAGCCCAAUAAACAACAUGAAAUUGAUCUUGUCAAGAGAGGAACCAGUCUACCGAUCCAGAUAGAAACUUCAUACAAGUUGUAACAGUUUCUCUUAUAUGGAUUUGAGAGGACUUCGCAUGGAAAGCACUAUAGCAGAUAUCUAGUGAUGCACUAAAAACAUAAGUUGAACAAUCCAAAACUGCAACAAAAUAAGCUAAUGUUAAAAUAAAUUACAAUUAAUGGGUUUCCUUGCAGCAAAAUUAGGCCAAAGAAAAGAGGAAAAAAACAACAGAAAAUCUACUAAUGAUGCAGCAACAAUUAACCUGAAAUAUCAGAAGAUAAAUAACCUCUUCAAGGUAGAAGAAAUUGCAUUUGCCUUUUCUAGAUUUUCCUGUUUGGUGCUUGUGCUUGGUGAAUGGUGGUUUGGUGGUGUACGAUUUUAUGUAAUUUCANNNNNNNNNNNNNNNNNNNAAAGUAUGUAAUUAUUAUAUUUUAUUAUGGGUAUUUUGGUAAAAAAAGCUUUCCGACAAAGCUCAAAACAGCUUUUUCGAAAAGCUCCAAAUUGGAGCUUUCCCCAAAAAGCUGUUUUUAGCUUUCUAAAAAAAGCUAAAACAGCUUUCCAAAAUUUUUAUCAAACACCUUUUUUUUAUCCAAAAGUGCUUUUGAUUCGAAGAUGAUAACCCAUUAAACUAUUGAAAUGCAAUAAUCCAUUUGUUUGAUUUCUUUCGAUAAGCUUCGUGAAAAAUCACCGCUUUGGGUUCGGAGAACAGGUGAAAGCGGGCCAUGAGACGCCCCGAAGGUUGGGAUGGGGGGUGGGUUUAAAUCAUAGGUUUUCCCCUCUCCUUGCAGUAAGGAUAGUUUUUAAAUUACAUAACUUCUCGACAUUGAACUAAAGUUGUUCAGUUAGUCUCCUCUUUCUAGUUCGAUGUUAGGAUACGAAAAAAAAGAUAUUUCAUCUUCAUGUCAUGAUGAAAUUUUUAUAAUGCGAGACUAGUUUUUGAAAAGUCGUAUAUAUAUGUGUAUGUAUUCUGUUUGAUAGGAACCCACUUACUAUUGAUGGAAUUUCGAGCAAAAGAAAAUAGAAAAACAGAGAUAUAGGUAGAAGAAAGAGUAUUCGAUCAAUUCAAGAGGUUUUGGACCUCGAAUAGCCUUUAAACUAUUUUUAUUAAAUUCAUUGCUUGUCUAGAGCACUACGUAUAUAUAGAUUCAGAGUAAAUUGUCCUACAAGAAUAAGAAAAAGCAAAAUAGGAAUAUGAUGUAGCCAAUUUUUAUUAGACUUGGACUCCUCCUAAUUCUUGUGCUAAAACAAAUUAAAAUUAGGAUCCUAAGAUAAGAAGCAUAUCAUUCCCUUUCACUUCUAGAUGAUCUUGUUCUCAAGGUUAUAUUUGUCUAGGUGGUACAUGGCGAUCAUCUUCAUCUUCAUCAUCUUGUGAAGUGUCAAUAUGUGCAGGUUCGAUAAGAAAAAUUAUCUUUUUNNNNNNNNNNNNNNNNNNNNCCAAGCUUUGCUAUCACUAGUUUGUAUUUCCCAGAACCCUAUACUUGUUUAUUUUGCAAUAUCACAGUAUGUGGCAUGAUAGAGUAAAGAACCAGUUGAAUAUCAAGGAUCAUUGAUAUACCUAGUAACAUUAUUGAAUCUCAUAAUUAUUCACAUAAAUAAGUCAUAUUGAUAACCUUCUAAAGUUUCAAACUAAAUCCUCAUGGUCUGAGAUGUGCUUUAAUCCCGAGGAAUUAAAAAUCAACCUAAAUUCCAUGCAAUUCAAUGCACAGAAGUGGUAUUAUACCUCCAAAUAUUGAUAAAAAUAUCAGGAUAUUGUUCAUUGUUCUUCCUAACAGAACAUUCGCUGUUACACCCAUAAUUUGUAUGCACCCCUAUACCUAAAUGGCAUUGCAGCAUACAGUUAGCAUAAGAAUUGCCUCGCGUAAUUAAGAUUCUGGUCGGCUAUCCACAUCCUGUAAGACAAUAUGCUAAUUUCUGCAUCUAACCUUUUGCAAGCAUCCCAAAUUGAUGGAAGUAUAAAAUUAAACAGUGAAAACCCAAGAACUACCUUAGUACAAUAUGGUCAAAAAAAUAAAUUAAAAAAAAUAACAGUAUGCACUUGGAAACUAACAUUAUACUAUUUUGAUUCCUCCUUUCGAGCUGUUGGUCAAUAUGUUCUCCAAAUUUCUCUCUAGUAUCUAUGUACCGCUUUUUUCUCACAGGGAAUACCCAAUUUUAAUGCACAUAUACAAAGUGCAUAGAUAUAAAGGAGAUAUUUGAGACCAUAUGAACUUAUGUAUAGAAUGAACGGCUUAAAAUGCCAAUAAAAAUAAAGAAAUGGGAGGGACAGGGGCCAAAAAAUUAAGUGUGAAUGAAUUGUUAUUGAAACAUAGCAGUUAAAAUUCAGAUCAACUAGAGAACAGCCUAUUUUUAUGCUGCUGUGGUACUGUGGCAAAUGGAACUUGAUUGCAUGACAGUUUUCCUCCCAAAUUCUGCACUCUUGGAAAAGGUGAUUUAUAAGUUUUAACCCGUAUAGCAAAGUUUUAGUGCAUCGUACUAAAAAAUCAGAAGCCAACCUACAAAAUAGAAGUGAAACAAGAAGAGAGAAGAAGAAAACUGAGAAUAUACCUAAACCUAAUAGGAGGCUUUAUCCAAACACCAUCAAAUGGAAUAAUCAUUGCAAUGUUCUGUAUUCUGGAGCUAUUGUAUACAGCAAUCACUGCUGCCUUUGAAGCUCAUCAUGACGAAUAUAAAUAAUUUCCUCAGCAGAAGAUCAUAACUGAAUAAUAGCACAUCCAUCUCAUGUAAAUGAGAUCAGCAAGACUUACAGCAAUAUUAUGAUAACUUCAACUUCAUUGCUUGGUAAAACUUCAAUUUAUUAUGGAGGAUGUAUCUAGUUAGCUUGACUCUAAUUAUUAAAGUUCUAAAUUAAAAUAAAAUUGCAUAUGCAGACAAAAUUCAAACAUACAGAAGUCAGUUAAAAGAUAUGAUAAAGAAAGGGGCUUACCAUCUCAAUAUUAUAUUUAACAGCUUCACUCCUUAAAGUUUCAGUCUCCUCUAAAGGAACAUCUGGCACCACAAGUCCUGCAAAAUGAUACCUGUUACUACUGAUUCACCAAAAAAGGCUGAUAGCAGAAGGUAGUAAUCCAGCAUUUUUUUGUCAAUAACAUCAACAAAAAAUUGCAAACACAACGCAAAAAAAUCACAAAACAAAUAAAUAAUCAAGAACUGGACUUUGCUAAAUGAAGGCAUGCAUUAAAUUUUAUAAUGUUAAGAGAAAGUAACAGCAAGAUAAAAAGAAAAAUUUUGGUACUUUUAGGGAAAAGAACAUGGAGACCAUUAUGUGGAAUUGUCAGGUACAUCAGCAUAGAAGAUUAGCACAGUAUCCCUAAAUGGUUUGUAAAAUAAUUGGGCCAUUUAGGCACUAUACCCUUUAAUUCAAAUAGGAUUUUGACCGGUGGCUGACAAUCCCUCAAUGAUAUAUAAAAACAUCUAGCUCAUCUAGGGACAGGCCCAAGUCCAUAUGACACUACAAGGCUGCAAAUGAAUCAAGAUGUUCAAGAACCACUAGGGUUAAAAUUCAACAACAGGCUCAAAUGAGCUUGAUUGAUUCAUCGUAGCCAGGAAACUUCUAUCUAGGGUGGCAUACCUGCUUCAAAAACUCCCCAAAAAUUCCAAUCAUCACCCGCUUCUAAACACUUCCUUGCUUACAGGGAUUUUAAAAUAUCCACUUCCUAUACUUGCUCUAAAUUUUGGCAACCAAAAUUCGAUUACAAAACAAGCCAAGCUCAAGCAUUAAUUUGAGGAUCAACUCAUAAAUUAACAAAGCCUGGACAAACUCUGGCUUGACAAGAAAAAAAAAAAGGAAGAAACUCAGCUGCUCGAGCUUGGCUCAAUAAAUAGGCUUGUUUUUGGUCAUGAGGAAUUCAAAGAUUAACCCAUAUGACAUUUGCAAUUAAGAUCUACAUAUAUCUUAGCCAUACCGGCAAUACAUGCUACCUUUGGGUUAACAAGGGAUUACAUUCAUGCUUUUCCUUAUAUGCAACUCUUUUUUGUCACGCUAAGUUUUAGUGGUGCAGUCAGGUUCUUUUAUUAUGUUGGAAGCCAGUAACUUAAAUAUGAGAAGCUCUCAAGUUGAAAUUUUUAGUUACAGCCUACUAUAUUAAUUAAAUGCACUUUGAACCCCUCAUAUCAUGUCUGCAUGUUUUAACCCAUCUAGGAGGGUGCAUACUGUGAAUUUUGACUCCACAAUAAUAAAUUUCCUGUUACGAGAUUUUCCAAUAAAAUGAUAGCAAAGCAUUGCCAGUAUUAUAUCCAUCCUGCUUUUUUAAAAAAAAUUUCCCGCUCUCUUCAAUUUUUUUCACUCAGAUUCUUAUCUUAUUUCACAAGUUCCUUCAAAAUUUCAUAAUUACAAAACAUUUCAGCACAAUUUUGUGAACAUUAACAUACCUGGUCGAGAUAUGGCACCUUAAUUGACCAAUUGUUUGAUAAAAAAAAUAUUUCCAGGCUUCAUGACGCCAUACAUGGCUACAACUUUUCCUCUUUCUCCACGAUAAAGAGAAAAGGAUAAACAACAAAACCAUAAGUUUUCAUGAUUCAAGAGCUCAACAUAUUAAGCCUUGACCUAAAACUAACAUAUAGUUUAUUAAAGUUAUAUAGGUUUGAAGACAAUAGUCUAAAGAUAGUCAAAGAAGCAAAAAGAGGGAGGCUGAAGACGUGUUUGGUGUUGCUUAAAAAAAGUCUUUUGCAGCCCUUAAAGCAAAAAAAAAGUUUCAAGAAAAUGCUAGGUAAAAGUAUACGAGAAAUGCUUCUACAGGAAGAAAAAGUCAAAAAAAAGUGCUUUUAGGAGAAGCUAGAAAAUCUAGCUCCUGGUUUCUUCUUUUGUGGGAGCUUUUUAAAAAGCAAAAGCAACACCAAUCAUGCCCCCACUAAGUUUACUUUCAUGUGAACGGCAUAAUAACUUUGUUAAAUGACCUGAAAUGGAUGUUUUAAUAGCAUAAAAGUUUCAGUCUUAUAGUCCUGAUUAACAUAAGAAAAGAGGAUCUAGAUUCAAAAUAAUAAUUCAUUGCAUAACAUGUAUAACCAAUUUAUCAUAUUUCCUGUCAUAUUUUUAUAUCAUUAACUUGACCAGGAGCAUAUAACAAACCAAUGAUCUGAACAACAUAAACCAGUACAUAGUUGAAAGGAAAAGUCUUAAUGCAUCUACAAUGAACACAAGAAUACUAACUUAACAGAGUUGCUCAGGUUAAAAUUGACAUUGCAAAACAUUAGUAAGUGCAUUCAUAUGUCAAUUUACCAUGUACACCAGCAUUUUUUAUCGUAGACAUGAACUUCUCAACUCCACGCUUUAGUAUGGGAUUGUAAUAUGUAAACAGAGCUAUUGGACAAGACAGUUGAGGUACUACCUGCUUAGACAGUAUCAAUAGCAUAACAUGAGAACCUAUCAUAGAAUUGUUAAUGAGUUCCACUAAUUCAAAAAGUUAAGCUGCAAAUGUAUUGAAAGCAAUCUCCUGCGAUAACUGACACCAUAGAAAAAAAUGAAAAUGGGUAAAAGAUGUUAUUUAGCAUCAGUAACAAACAUCAACACCUCCCUUAACUUUGAAACAAAGAACAGGUAGAUAAUUUGCAUGCACCUGAUUCAAGUCAAAUUAGAGACUUUAAUUAGUCAGACUCAGUUUCUCUUUUCUAGCUUUUUUCCUUUCUUCAUUUUCCUUCUUUUCCCUUUUUUCCUCCAUUACAUAUGCUAACAGAGUUCAGAGUCAACAAGGAGAAUUUGACAGCAUUCUAGGUGAUGAAUUAAGAUUCUUCUAAACAUAAGAGAGUCAAAACAAGCGUCAAAGGCUAAAGUUAUCAUGGCUUACUGAUGAAGUUCUAGUGCAUGCACAGAUUCUGUUCAGGUACAUAUGUGCAUGUGUGUGCAUAUAAUGCGAGAGAGAGAGAGAGAGAGAGAGAGAGAGAGAGAGAGAGAGAGAGAGAGNNNNNNNNNNNNNNNNNNNNGAGAGAGAGAGAGGAAUUAACGAAAGAAUAGUGCUUAGGAUAGUCAUACCUCCCUUAACAUGGAUAUAACUGCAUCAAAGUUGGUUCCUUUUGCUAGGGCACGCGUAGCAGCAGCCUAAAAUUACAUAUACAUAUGUAUAACCAAUACACAUUCAACUGUAAGAUUGAAUAUGAAGGAGAAAACGUUUGACAGGAAAACCUGGAUAACAGGUCCAUCUGCUAAAGGAUCAGAGUAGGGUAUGCCCAAUUCUAUCAAGUCUGAACCACAAGAAUCAAGAACUUUCAAUGCUUUCGAGGUUGUUGACAAAUCAGGAUCACCAGCAGUUAAGAAAGGUAUAAAUGCAACCUAAGGAAUUGGAGACAGACAGCGGUUAGAAGCCAAGUAAAAAAUACAAGCAGAUUCCCUAUCAAAUUAAGGUUGUAUUGCAACAAGCCUACAGCAAGCCUACUGAAAAAAAUGAAGUUACAAGGAAAACAGCAGAUAUUUGCUUGUUCAACUAAUGAAUGCAAUCUCUGGUUGCAAAUUUGGCAUUAAUAAUCAUAUUAGUGACUGAAACGCAUAGGACAAGUAUAUUUCAGAUCAAUCUACUUCCAAGAUAUUUAGAACCAAGAGAUAUAUUGGUGUUACGCAUGAUUUGCCAACACAAGUUGUGCUCGCAAGUAUAUUGUUUGGUAGGUUUUUAUUAUGACAAGUCUGGCCUUAUGGUAGAUGCAUAGAUAGAGCAAUUAGAUAGAUGUGCAUGUGUGUGUGCACGUGCAAAUCAAGCAUGUCCAAGAUUUGUUUUUUUACUACAACAGAUCCCAAGAAAUAGAUAAAAGAAGCAGCAAGCAGAUGACAUAUGAAAUCUACAAAUAAAGGGGCACAAUGCGUGUCAGACCUCACCAAGAUUUGACUUUUACUCCAUCCAAACAGCAAAUGAACGAAAUCAAAACUCCCCUAGCUAAUCUUCCACGGACAGAAAACAUAUAAAUCAUCAGGGAAAGGGAAUACAACAGCAAAGGAAGAAAAAGAAGAAAAGAAAACACCUGUUCGGCUAAAAGGAGCGCAAAUUUUAGAAUUAGAAGAACAGAUGCAGAAAGAACACAAAAAACGCAUGGAAAGAAAACCCAUUAAACAAAAAUCAGGAGUCAGCGUUCAUAUGACAAUACAAAAUCGACAAAAUUAGGCACAUCAAAUGCCAGUCAAACUUUUACUCUCCAAGAUUUGAUUUUUAAUCCGUCAAACAGCAAAAGAACUAGAUUCUGUCGAACCUGGAACGAAAUCCAGUGACAAAACCACGAAAAUAAUCAAGAAAACGCAAUCCACGGGCAAAAGGAAGAAAAUGGUACGAACACAAAAGCAUUCAUAGGGGAAACACCGCCGCAUACUUUUCCUUGUUCCCUCAACCGGGAGAAGGUCUCGGAGAUCCCAACCGUCGGGGCGACGCUAAGAGAAGCCAUGGUGGACAGGGAUUUGGGGGCAGAGACAGUCUGGAAGGAGGGCCGAGGAAAAGAGACGCGGGGAGAUUUGCUCGAGGGGAGAAAAGAGAAGGAGACUUUGAAAGCGGUGGCCAUCACCCUUCGGAUGUCGGGACGAGACCUCGGUCUGGGCUUUGCGAAGGUUUUAUUUUGUCAUUGCGCCACACGCCCGGCAAGUGCCGUUUCUGGAUUCGUAAGGGCUUGGAUUCAUCAUUUUGACCCUGUUGAGAUUCGUCUGAGACAUAUGGGAUUUGGGCAUUCUUGAUUUGGGUCAAAUGAGAUUUUACCAUGGAAAUGUUGGAUGGGCAAGGGUUCCAAGGAUUGUCCCCACCCAUGGACAUAUAACAUCUUUGGUGCGAAUGAAGAAGUCAACUUAGUGCAAAUCCACAUUUGAAUCGUCGUUUCAAGAUUUAUGAAGAGAUGAAUGAAAACAUUCAAAGUGCUCUAAGAUUUACACAAGUGUCAUUCAAUAGUCAACGUUUGUUAGGAUCCGUGCAGGGGUGUGUUUAGUCCUACAUCGAUUAUUCGCUGGAUAGAUCUUGGAUACUUAUACAAGAUCAAGGAACCAAAAUAAUACUUUUCGGCUAGCCAUUUUUGGAUAAGGUAUUGGGUUGUUACAAAUGAUAUCAGAGCGGAUCCGGCUCAUAAUCUAUGUGAAUUAGAGGAUACCGCAACACAUCCAUUGGGACUGACCACGAACCGAUCGUGAUGUUUGUGAUUAGAUUUGAAUGAAUUUGAACACUUAGUCUGAUGAGGACGUCGGGGCUUGAACGGGAGAGUAUGUGAGGAUCGUGCGAGUUUGUGUUUAGUCUCACAUCGGUUAUUCGUAGGGGUGGCAAAAUAUGACCCGACCCGCCAACCCGACCCGUGUUCGAUCCGCCAUAAACAGGUUUGGGUUUGGCUUAAACAGGUUCGGGUCGUAAACAGGUUGACCCGUUUAAUCUGUUUAUUAAUUGGGUCGGAUACAGAUUUUAAAUUCCUGACCCGUUUAACCCGUAUAACCUGUUUAAUUGUUGGGCUAAUAAAUAAGGGCCAGCCCAACUCCCUGCCUCGGCCCGCUUUCACCGCCUCGGCCCAGCUCCCUGCUUCGGCCUGCAUUCACCGCGAGGUCCACCGUCUGCUUUCAGCCUUUCACCGCGAGGUUGAUUGGAUCGUAAAGGCGUCGCUAAGGCCGUAAGGCGUUGCUUCUCCUUAGGUUUAGCCGUUUAGGGUUUGUCUUUGUGAGCACCGCCCGAGCUCUAUUCCCUCAGUCCCUCUCCCCUCUCCUAGUCUCCUCUCCUCCGGACCUCCGCCUCCGCCCUCUCCUCCCCCUUGCUGACUCCUUCCGCCUCCCCGUCGACGGCGACCGCGGCGGCUCGACGGGUUCCUAGGACGUCGCUUCCACCUUCUUGGGGCUUUUCGUCGUCUCGCGACUUGCCGGCGGACGGUGACUGCUUUGUCUUCUCCACAACGACGGCCUCCACCUCCCGCUCUAUCCGUGCAUUCUCUCCCCUUCUCCGCUAGUAGUAUAGUCAUGCUAUCUCUGAUUUCCUUCCGCCAUCUCUUUCUGUCUCUGUUUCUUGGUCUUGAGGAUCUUGGAUCUCAAAGCGGCGGAGGACAUGAGCGUGCUCUAUCUUUUCCUCAAAGCGGCGACUACUGUGGAGUCCAGCAGCAUGUAUGCCGGUGGAGGGAAAUGGUUUGGUUUUUACUUCUUA